CUAGCUGUAAACGAUGGGUACUAGGUGUAGGAGGUUUCGAUACCUUCUGUGCCGGAGUUAACGCAUUAAGUACCCCGCCUGGGGAGUACGUGCGCAAGCAUGAAACUCAAAGGAAUUGACGGGGGCCCGCACAAGCGGUGGAGCAUGUGGUUUAAUUCGAAGCAACGCGAAGAACCUUACCAGGUCUUGACAUCACCUAGCAAGCCAUGGAAACAUGGCCCUCCUUCGGGACUGGGUGACAGGUGG
This 246-nucleotide ribosomal RNA is filed under the name uncultured Eubacteriales bacterium. RNAcentral's name for it is "uncultured Clostridiales bacterium partial 16S ribosomal RNA". It matches the Rfam family "Bacterial small subunit ribosomal RNA", at positions 796 to 1041 of the family's 1533-position model. The record is from RNAcentral. Lineage: Bacteria; Bacillati; Bacillota; Clostridia; Eubacteriales.